This 907-nucleotide ribosomal RNA is filed under the name uncultured bacterium. RNAcentral's name for it is "bacterial SSU rRNA". It matches the Rfam family "Bacterial small subunit ribosomal RNA", at positions 335 to 1235 of the family's 1533-position model. The record is from RNAcentral.
ACUCCUACGGGAGGCAGCAGUGGGGAAUUUUGGACAAUGGGCGCAAGCCUGAUCCAGCAAUGCCGCGUGAGUGAAGAAGGCCUUCGGGUUGUAAAGCUCUUUCAGUUGAAAAGAAAAAGUCGUGACUAAUAAUCAUGGCUCAUGACGGUAUCAACAGGAGAAGCACCGGCUAACUACGUGCCAGCAGCCGCGGUAAUACGUAGGGUGCAAGCGUUAAUCGGAAUUACUGGGCGUAAAGGGUGCGCAGGCGGUUCUGUAAGACAGAUGUGAAAUCUCCGGGCUUAACCUGGGAACUGCGUUUGAAACUGCAGAGCUAGAGUGCGGCAGAGGGAGGUGGAAUUCCAUGUGUAGCAGUGAAAUGCGUAGAGAUAUGGAAGAACAUCGAUGGCGAAGGCAACCUCCUGGGCUAGCACUGACGCUCAUGCACGAAAGCGUGGGGAGCAAACAGGAUUAGAUACCCUGGUAGUCCACGCCCUAAACUAUGUCAACUAGUUGUCGGGUCUUAAUAGACUUGGUAACGUAGCUAACGCGUGAAGUUGACCGCCUGGGGAGUACGGUCGCAAGAUUAAAACUCAAAGGAAUUGACGGGGACCCGCACAAGCGGUGGAUUAUGUGGAUUAAUUCGAUGCAACGCGAAAAACCUUACCUACCCUUGACAUGUCAGAAAAUUUUCAGAGAUGAAUUUGUGCCCGAAAGGGAAUCUGAACACAGGUGCUGCGUGGCUGUCGUCAGCUCGUGUCGUGAGAUGUUGGGUUAAGUCCCGCAACGAGCGCAACCCUUGUCAUUAAUUGCCAUCAUUAAGUUGGGCACUUUAAUGAGACUGCCGGUGAUAAACCGGAGGAAGGUGGGGAUGACGUCAAGUCCUCAUGGCCCUUAUGGGUAGGGCUUCACACGUAAUACAAUGGCG